CCUACGGGAGGCAGCAGUGAGGAAUAUUGGUCAAUGGACGAGAGUCUGAACCAGCCAAGUAGCGUGAAGGAUGACUGCCCUAUGGGUUGUAAACUACUUUUAUAUGGGAAUAAAAUGUUCCACGUGUGGGAUUUUGUAUGUACCAUAUGAAUAAGGAUCGGCUAACUCCGUGCCAGCAGCCGCGGUAAUACGGAGGAUCCGAGCGUUAUCCGGAUUUAUUGGGUUUAAAGGGAGCGUAGGUGGAUUGUUAAGUCAGUUGUGAAAGUUUGCGGCUCAACCGUAAAAUUGCAGUUGAAACUGGCAGUCUUGAGUACAGUAGAGGUGGGCGGAAUUCGUGGUGUAGCGGUGAAAUGCUUAGAUAUCACGAAGAACUCCGAUUGCGAAGGCAGUUCACUGGACUGCAACUGACACUGAGGCUCGAAAGUGUGGGUAUCAAACAGGAUUAGAGACCCGAGUAGUC
Molecule: ribosomal RNA, 460 nt
Filed under: uncultured bacterium
Lineage: Bacteria
Description: partial 16S ribosomal RNA
Rfam family: Bacterial small subunit ribosomal RNA
Source: RNAcentral